Molecule: ribosomal RNA, 440 nt
Filed under: uncultured bacterium
Lineage: Bacteria
Description: partial 16S ribosomal RNA
Rfam family: Bacterial small subunit ribosomal RNA
Source: RNAcentral
CCUACGGGUGGCAGCAGUGGGGAAUAUUGCACAAUGGGGGAAACCCUGAUGCAGCGACGCCGCGUGAGUGAAGAAGUAUUUCGGUACGUAAAGCUCUAUCAGCAGGGAAGAACAUGACGGUACCUGACUAAGAAGCCCCGGCUAACUACGUGCCAGUAGCCGCGGUAAUACGUAGUGGGCAAGCGUUAUCCGGAUUUACUGGGAGUAAAGGGGGCGUAGACGGCAGCGCAAGUUUGGAGUGAAAUCCCAUGGCUUAACCAUGGAACUGCUUUGGAAAAUGUGCAGCUAGAGUGCAGGAGAGGUAAGCGGAAUUCCUAGUGUAGCGGUGAAAUGCGGAGAUAUUAGGAGGAACACCAGUGGCGAAGGCGGCUUACUGGACUGUAACUGACGUUGAGGCUCGAAAGCGUGGGGAGCAAACAGGAUUAGAUACCCUUGUAGUC